RNAcentral lists this ribosomal RNA (439 nucleotides) under uncultured bacterium. Its description in RNAcentral is "partial 16S ribosomal RNA". It matches the Rfam family "Bacterial small subunit ribosomal RNA", at positions 338 to 795 of the family's 1533-position model. The record is from RNAcentral.
CCUACGGGGGGCAGCAGUGGGGAAUAUUGCACAAUGGGGGAAACCCUGAUGCAGCGACGCCGCGUGAGUGAAGAAGUAUUUCGGUAUGUAAAGCUCUAUCAGCAGGGAAGAAAAUGACGGUACCUGAUUAAGAAGCCCCGGCUAACUCCGUGCCAGCAGCCGCGGUAAUACGGAGGAUGCGAGCGUUAUCCGGAUUUAUUGGGUUUAAAGGGUGCGUAGGCGGAAGGUUAAGUCAGUGGUCAAAUGUCGGUGCUCAACACCGGCCUGCCGUUGAAACUGGUCUUCUUGAGUGAGCGAGAAGUAUGCGGAAUGCGUGGUGUAGCGGUGAAAUGCAUAGAUAUCACGCAGAACUCCGAUUGCGAAGGCAGCAUACCGGCGCUCAACUGACGCUGAGGCACGAAAGCGUGGGGAUCGAACAGGAUUAGAUACCCUUGUAGUC